RNAcentral lists this ribosomal RNA (882 nucleotides) under Macrobrachium grandimanus. Its description in RNAcentral is "SSU rRNA". It matches the Rfam family "Eukaryotic small subunit ribosomal RNA", at positions 595 to 1452 of the family's 1831-position model. Lineage: Eukaryota; Metazoa; Arthropoda; Malacostraca; Decapoda; Palaemonidae. The record is from RNAcentral.
UAGCGUAUAUUAAAGUUGUUGCGGUUAAAAAGCUCGUAGUUCGAGUUCAGUUUCGGACUGGGGUGGGAGGUCACCGCCCGGUGCUUCCCCUUUAGGCUCCGAACAGCUUCCUGUAGUGGAAGCCAAGCCGGUUCUGGUCGGGUGCUCUUUACCGAGUGUCCGGCGCGGCCGGCCAGUUCACCUUGAAUAAAUGAGAGUGCUCAAAGCAGGCUACUCUGGAAUACAAUGCCCGAAUGUUAACUGCAUGGAAUGAUGGAAGAUGAUCUCGGUUCCAUUUUGUUGGUGGUGGGAGCCAGAGGUAAUGAUAAAGAGGGACUGUCGGGGGCAUCCGUACUACGACGCGAGAGGUGAAAUUCAGUGACCGUCGUAGGACGAACAACAGCGAAAGCAUUUGCCAAGAAUGUCUUCGUUGAUCAAGAACGAAAGUUAGAGGAUCGAAGGCGAUCAGAUACCGCCCUAGUUCUAACCCUAAACGAUGCUGACUAGCAAUUCGCCGUCGUUAUUCCCAUGACGUGGCGAGACGCCCCCGGGAAACCUCAAGUUUUUGAGUUCCGGGGGUAGUAUGGUUGCAAAAGUGAAACUUAAAGGAAUUGACGGAAGGGCACCACCAGGAGUGGAGCCUGCGGCUUAAUUUGACUCAACACGGGAAAGCUCACCAGGCCCGGACACCAGAAGGAUUGACAGAUUAAGAGCUCUUUCUCGAUUUGGUGGGUGGUGGUGCAUGGCCGUUCUUAGUUGGUGGAGUGAUUUGUCUGGUUAAUUCCGGUAACGAACGAGACUCUGGCCUACUAAAUAGUGGACGUUGGUUUUGGUGCAUGGGCCACGUUCGACACAGUCUUCUUAGAGGGAUGAGCAGCGAGUAUAGCUGCAGGAGAUUGAGCA